RNAcentral lists this unclassified non-coding RNA (293 nucleotides) under uncultured fungus. RNAcentral's name for it is "sequence contains ITS1". The stretch from base 1 to 97 matches the Rfam family "5.8S ribosomal RNA", at positions 50 to 154 of the family's 154-position model. Lineage: Eukaryota; Fungi. The record is from RNAcentral.
AAAGUGCGAUAAUUAGUGCGAUUUGCAUGAAUCUGUGAGUCAUCAAGUAUUUGAACGCAACUUGCGCUCCAUCUGGAGCAUGUCUGUUUGAGUGGUAUAAAUUGAUAAUGCAAUUGUGCGUUAUGCACAUUUGUGAAUUGCUAGUCCAUUGCGUGUCUAGUUAAAUGGAGAUUAUACUUCAGAGGGAAAUGUCUUUCUUUAAAGUUAGAGACGUCAAGUCUUGUUUAAAGGAUCGCCUUCUACCUCCACUACACUACACCCUCAAAUCAGUCAAGACUACCCGCUGAACUUAA